UCCUGCCAGCGAUCGUUCUUUUGCAUCAAAGAUUAACACAUGCAUGUGUCAGAUUAAAAGACUUAAUCUUGAAUCUGCGAAUGGCUCAUUAUAUCAGUCAUAGUUUACACGGUAAUGAAAAGCUACACGGAUAACUGUGGCAAUUCUAGAGCUAAUACGUGCGUCGAGGCGUCUUUCCUCUCGGGGGAGGGCGUCGUAUUUAUUAGCCUCAAAACCGACUCCGCUCGCAAGGGCGGGUUUUUGGUGAAUCAUGAUAACUGAAGCGAACCGGUGCGCCUUUACGGCGGCGGUGAACCGUUCAAGUUUCUGCCCUAUCAGCUUUCGAUGGUCGGGUAUUGGCCUACCAUGGCGUUGACGGGUGACGGAGAAUUAGGGUUCGAUUCCGGAGAGGGAGCCUUAGAGACGGCUCCUACAUCCAAGGAAGGCAGCAGUGGCGAAACGUACCCAAUCCCAAUUCGGGGAGGUCGUGACGAUGUAUAGUAAUGCGGUGCGUUUUCACGUACUGCAAUUGCAAUGAGUACAACUCAAACCCUUUAACCAGGAUCAAUUGGAGGGCAAGUCUGGUGCCAGCAGCCGCGGUAAUUCCAGCUCCGAUAAAGAACAUUGAAGUUGUUGCAGUUAAAAAGCUCGUAGUUGGAUUUCUGGGCGUUUCAAAUCCACCCCCUCGCGGGGAAACUCGCGAGGCGGCCGUGGAUGGCGCCCAUCCCUUCGGCGGAACUUUUCCUCCUCGCAAGGGGGGGGGAAGGAAAACCGAUCCUUCACUGUGAACAAAUUGGAGUGUUCAAAGCAGGCUUUACGCUGUGAACAUUUAAGCAUGGAAUGAUAAAUCAGGACUCUCGUCUCAUUUGUCGGUUUUUUGACAAGAGUAAUGUUUAAAAGAAACAGGGGGGGGUAUCCGGAUUUGGCAGUCAGAGGUGAAAUUCUUGGAUUUGCUAAGGACGAACAACUGCGAAAGCAUCUACCAACGAUGUUUUCAUUAAUCAAGAACGAAAGUUUGGGGAUCGAAGAUGAUUAGAUACCAUCGUAGUCCAAACUAUAAACGAUUCCGACUCGGGAUGAGCGGAAGUCUUUUUUCAUCGACUCCGCUCGCACCGUAUGAGAAAUCAAAGUCUUUGGGUUCCGGGGGGAGUAUGGUCGCAAGGCUGAAACUUAAAGGAAUUGACGGAAGGGCACACAAGGAGUGGAGCCUGCGGCU
This 1195-nucleotide ribosomal RNA is filed under the name uncultured soil eukaryote. Its description in RNAcentral is "SSU rRNA". It matches the Rfam family "Eukaryotic small subunit ribosomal RNA", at positions 12 to 1190 of the family's 1831-position model. The record is from RNAcentral.